GAUGAACGCUGGCGGCGUGCCUAAUACAUGCAAGUCGAGCGAACAGACGAGGAGCUUGCUCCUCUGACGUUAGCGGCGGACGGGUGAGUAACACGUGGAUAACCUACCUAUAAGACUGGGAUAACUUCGGGAAACCGGAGCUAAUACCGGAUAAUAUAUUGAACCGCAUGGUUCAAUAGUGAAAGACGGUUUUGCUGUCACUUAUAGAUGGAUCCGCGCCGCAUUAGCUAGUUGGUAAGGUAACGGCUUACCAAGGCAACGAUGCGUAGCCGACCUGAGAGGGGAUCCGCCCCCAAGGAACCUGAGCCACGGCCCAGCCCCCUAGGGGAGCCAGGAGUGGGGAAUCUCCCGCAAUGGGGGAAAGCUUGCCGGGGAAACGCGGGGGGAGUGAAGAAGGUUUUGGGACCGAAAACCUCUUUUAUUAGGGAAAAAAAAAUGGUAAAGUAACUAUGCCCGUUUUGCAGGUCCCUAUACAAAAAGCCCCGCUUAACUACGU
Molecule: ribosomal RNA, 496 nt
Filed under: uncultured bacterium
Lineage: Bacteria
Description: partial 16S ribosomal RNA
Rfam family: Bacterial small subunit ribosomal RNA
Source: RNAcentral